Molecule: transfer RNA, 72 nt
Filed under: Camelus bactrianus (Bactrian camel)
Lineage: Eukaryota; Metazoa; Chordata; Mammalia; Artiodactyla; Camelidae
Also listed under: 1 other name
Rfam family: tRNA
About the family: Transfer RNA (tRNA) molecules are approximately 80 nucleotides in length. Their secondary structure includes four short double-helical elements and three loops (D, anti-codon, and T loops). Further hydrogen bonds mediate the characteristic L-shaped molecular structure. tRNAs have two regions of fundamental functional importance: the anti-codon, which is responsible for specific mRNA codon recognition, and the 3' end, to which the tRNAs corresponding amino acid is attached (by aminoacyl-tRNA synthetases). tRNAs cope with the degeneracy of the genetic code in two manners: having more than one tRNA (with a specific anti-codon) for a particular amino acid; and 'wobble' base-pairing, i.e. permitting non-standard base-pairing at the 3rd anti-codon position.
Source: Rfam by way of RNAcentral
GAGAGUAUAGCUCAGUGGUAGAGUGCAUGCCUAGCAUGCACAAGGUCAUGGGUUUGAUUCCCAGUACCUCCA